UUCUGGAAAGUUGGAUCCUGUAAAGCUGUAGAACGAUGUGUAUUGAAGGUACCUGCCUUUGCAUUUUUGCUCCAUGCUCCUUGCUUUUUGAAUGUCCUUUGGUCCUGAGACUUAGGGGAUCAUUGUGCACUUCUUUCUUACCCUCAUUUCUUAAUAUCUUCAAGCAGUAGUAUUUUGGAUCAACCAGUCAGCCUUUGGAGGCACCAGAUUCUCUCUCUGUUCAUUCAGGCUCCAGUAUUUCACUCCUUCCCACCUGGCAUCUUCAUUAACUACCCAACUCCAGCUUCAAUUCUUACCACCAAUUAAGAAUCCCUUGAAAAUGUACACACAGUUCACCUGCAUUCCAUGUGGCAUCAGCUGAGGAGGUCUGAGUAGGGGCAAGAGGAUCCACUUCCAACAUGGUUUCACAUACAUGGCUGAAGAGUUGGUGCUGGCAACUUGCUGGGAAACAGCUGAAUUUGUUGCCUGAAGCCUCAUUUCUCCUCCACAUGAACUCUCGGCUCAGCUGAUUUGGGCUUCUCACAGCAUGAAGGUCUCAGGGUAGCAGAACUUCUUGCAUGACAUCCCUGAAGUGUCCUGGAACUUUAGACAUUUCAGCAACUAAACUAUUUUUCUGAGACUACCUCUGGGAGAGAUGCGUCAAGCCGCACAUGCAUCCUUUAAAAGACUGUGCACCCUGAAAUUUGGAAAUGUAGACACAUUCAUAUGAAGUCAUGGAAAGUUUCCAGUGAGGUCUAGAAUCCAAGUUCAUUUUCGGUGUGCAUGUGGCCAACCUUCCUCUUCCUGUUCUGGAAGU
This 796-nucleotide long non-coding RNA is filed under the name Homo sapiens (human). Its description in RNAcentral is "novel transcript". Lineage: Eukaryota; Metazoa; Chordata; Mammalia; Primates; Hominidae. The record is from RNAcentral.